GACGAACGCUGGCGGCGUGCUUAACACAUGCAAGUCGAACGGAAAGGCCCUGCUUUUGUGGGGUGCUCGAGUGGCGAACGGGUGAGUAACACGUGAGUAACCUGCCCCUGACUUUGGGAUAACUUCAGGAAACUGGGGCUCAUACCGGAUAGGAGCUCCUGCUGCACGGUGGGGGUUGGAAAGUUUCGGCGGUUGGGGAUGGACUCGCGGCUUAUCGGCUUGUUUGUGGGGUAGUUGCUUUCCAAGGCUUUGACGGGUAGCCGGCCUGGGAGGGUGACCGGGCACAUGGGGACUGAGGUACGGCGCAGACUCCUACGGGAGGCAGCAGUGGAGAGUAUGACGGAAUGGGCGGAAGCCUGAUGCAGCAACGCCGCGUGCGGGAUAACGGCCUUCGGGUUAUGAACCGAUUUCGCCUGUGACAAGGCGUGAGUGACGGUAAUGGGUAAAGAAGCACCGGCUAACUACGUG
RNAcentral lists this ribosomal RNA (468 nucleotides) under uncultured bacterium. RNAcentral describes it as "partial 16S ribosomal RNA". It matches the Rfam family "Bacterial small subunit ribosomal RNA", at positions 28 to 507 of the family's 1533-position model. The record is from RNAcentral.